GUGUUCACUUUGACAGCACAUAUACUAGAAUUGGGACCACACAGAGAAGAUUAGCACGGCCCUUGCACAAGGAUGACACACGAAUGAAUGGAGUGUUCCAUGUUUUA
This 107-nucleotide small nuclear RNA is filed under the name Microcebus murinus (gray mouse lemur). The record is from RNAcentral. Lineage: Eukaryota; Metazoa; Chordata; Mammalia; Primates; Cheirogaleidae.